Molecule: long non-coding RNA, 770 nt
Organism: Gorilla gorilla gorilla (western lowland gorilla)
Lineage: Eukaryota; Metazoa; Chordata; Mammalia; Primates; Hominidae
Exons: 3
Source: RefSeq, a predicted model, not a curated record
UCUCCUACCAAUUUGAUCUCGAGCAAGGUACUUCACACGUCUAUGCUUCUUUCCUCCAUCUGUAAAGUUGGGAUCAUAAUACUGCCUACCUCAGAAGGCCAUUGUGAGAUAAAUGAGACAACAAGUGAAAACACUUAGCCUAGGGGCUGGCACAGAGUAAAUCACAAAAAGUAACUGAACCAAGGCUGGUAAUUCUUCCUGUUGAGUGCAGAAUGACAGUAUGAGUGGAAGGUCCAAAUGCAAGAAACAAGAAUCUUGUUUGAAAUCUGAACCAUCACUUCUCAACCCCAGAAACAAAGGAGAGGCUAAAGUUAAAGUCAUGAUUUGGUGAAGAUGAGUCCCGGAAGUAGAUGACUGGCUGAAUCGACUCAUAAAUGGCUGUGAAACAAGUUAAGCGUCGAUACACCUGCAAGGUUUCAGAGGCCAUUUUAUUGGGAAAGUUAUUUCUGGUGAAGAAAUGUCAUGAUCAGGUCUGAAUGCAGAACAAUACAAAAUUAAGAAUUAAGUGCUUCAUCAAGUUUUUGCAGGUGAGUCACCAACAGCUUUGCAUGUACUGUAAGUGCCAGCCAAUGAGGUUAAUGAUUCAAAAACCCAGAGUACAAGGAGAAUACAAUGUGCAAAGGAAAUGGGCCCCGCCACCUUGCUCAGGUGCCGUGUGAAGACACGGAUGUUGAAAACAAAAUCUUUCCCGAGAGAAAACAACCAUGCUUGCACUGUGUUUUCAGAAUUGCCUCCUCAUGUAAAUUAACUCAAUAAAAUUGGGUCCUUUC